This 492-nucleotide ribosomal RNA is filed under the name uncultured bacterium. Its description in RNAcentral is "partial 16S ribosomal RNA". It matches the Rfam family "Bacterial small subunit ribosomal RNA", at positions 29 to 507 of the family's 1533-position model. The record is from RNAcentral.
AGUGAACGCUGGCGGUAGGCCUAACACAUGCAAGUCGAACGGCAGCACAGUAAGAGCUUGCUCUUACGGGUGGCGAGUGGCGGACGGGUGAGGAAUACAUCGGAAUCUACUUUUUCGUGGGGGAUAACGUAGGGAAACUUACGCUAAUACCGCAUACGACCUACGGGUGAAAGCAGGGGAUCUUCGGACCUUGCGCGAUUGAAUGAGCCGAUGUCGGAUUAGCUAGUUGGCGGGGUAAAGGCCCACCAAGGCGACGAUCCGUAGCUGGUCUGAGAGGAUGAUCAGCCACACUGGAACUGAGACACGGUCCAGACUCCUACGGGAGGCAGCAGCGGGGAAUAUUGGACAAUGGGCGCAAGCCUGAUCCAACCAUACCGCGUGGGUGAAGAAGGCCUUCGGGUUGUAAAGCCCUUUUGUUGGGAAAGAAAAGCAGCAGGUUAAUACCCCGCUGUUCUGACGGUACCCAAAGAAUAAGCACCGGCUAACUUCGUG